CAGCCGCCGCGGGAAUACGUAGGUGGCAAGCGUUGUCCGGAAUUAUUGGGCGUAAAGGGCUCGCAGGCGGUUUCUUAAGUCUGAUGUGAAAGCCCCCGGCUCAACCGGGGAGGGUCAUUGGAAACUGGGAAACUUGAGUGCAGAAGAGGAGAGUGGAAUUCCACGUGUAGCGGUGAAAUGCGUAGAGAUGUGGAGGAACACCAGUGGCGAAGGCGACUCUCUGGUCUGUAACUGACGCUGAGGAGCGAGAGCGUGGGGAGCGAAUGGGAUUAGAUACCCGCGUAGUCCCUGUCUCUUAUAC
This 301-nucleotide ribosomal RNA is filed under the name uncultured bacterium. RNAcentral's name for it is "partial 16S ribosomal RNA". It matches the Rfam family "Bacterial small subunit ribosomal RNA", at positions 509 to 807 of the family's 1533-position model. The record is from RNAcentral.